RNAcentral lists this ribosomal RNA (443 nucleotides) under uncultured bacterium. Its description in RNAcentral is "SSU rRNA". It matches the Rfam family "Bacterial small subunit ribosomal RNA", at positions 26 to 518 of the family's 1533-position model. The record is from RNAcentral.
AGAGCGAACGCUGGCGGCAGGCCUAACACAUGCAAGUCGAGCGCUCCGCAAGGGGAGCGGCAGACGGGAGAGUAACACGUGGGAACGUACCCUUCAGUUCGGAACAACCCAGGGAAACUUGGGCUAAUACCGAAUACGUCCGUAAGGAGAAAGAUUUAUCGCUGAAGGAUCGGCCCGCGUCUGAUUAGCUUGUUGGUGAGGUAACGGCUCACCAAGGCGACGAUCAGUAGCUGGUCUGAGAGGAUGAUCAGCCUCACUGGGACUGAGACACGGCCCAGACUCCUACGGGAGGCAGCAGUGGGGAAUAUUGGACAAUGGGCGCAAGCCUGAUCCAGCCAUGCCGCGUGGGUGAUGAAGGCCCUAGGGUUGUAAAGCCCGUUUCGGCGGGGAAGAUAAUGACGGUACCCGCAGAAGAGCCCGGCUAACUUCGCGCCAGCAGCCGC